This 429-nucleotide ribosomal RNA is filed under the name Verrucomicrobiota bacterium. RNAcentral's name for it is "Verrucomicrobia bacterium partial 16S ribosomal RNA". It matches the Rfam family "Bacterial small subunit ribosomal RNA", at positions 355 to 776 of the family's 1533-position model. Lineage: Bacteria; Pseudomonadati; Verrucomicrobiota. The record is from RNAcentral.
UAGGGAAUCUUCCGCAAUGGACGAAAGUCUGUCGGAGCAACGCCGCGUGAGUGAAGAAGGAUUUCGGUUCGUAAAACUCUGUUGUUAGGGAAGAAAAAAUGUAUAGUAACUAUAUACAAAAGAGACGGUACCUAACCAGAAAGCCACGGCUAACUACGUGCCAGCAGCCGCGGUAAUACGUAGGUGGCAAGCGUUGUCCGGAAUUAUUGGGCGUAAAGCGCGCGCAGGUGGUUUAGAAAGUCUGAUGUGAAAGCCCACGGCUCAACCGUGGAGGGUCAUUGGAAACUAAUAAACUUGAGUGCAGGAGAGAAAAGUGGAAUUCCUAGUGUAGCGGUGAAAUGCGUAGAGAUUAGGAGGAACACCGGUGGCGAAAGCGGCUUUUUGGCCUGCAACUGACACUGAGGCGCGAAAGCGUGGGGAGCAAACAGG